AAAUGAGCAGAAUGAACUGGUCAAUGGAUUUCUAUAUAUGAAGGAAUAAACAAUAAUAAAAAUUUGACUGGGUAUGCGCUGCGCGUCUUUUGGUUUCGCUGUCUACCAAAUAUUGUGCUAUGGCUACAAGGCAUUAUUUGAACUAUUUAUAUAUAUUUGCUCUGUCGUAUAUACAUAUGUACAAUAUAUAAACUGGGUUGGAAUUGAAAUAAAUGCGCAGCGAGCUUUAAACUGUCGGCGGCGAUUGCUAAGAGCGCAACAAACUAAGCAAAAACUGUUGGAAUUGUACUGCAAAUCGAAUUGCUUAUGGCCAAGUUGCAGAUUGUAGCUGUUGUGCA
Long non-coding RNA from Drosophila busckii, 338 nucleotides. RefSeq lists it as uncharacterized. Lineage: Eukaryota; Metazoa; Arthropoda; Insecta; Diptera; Drosophilidae. The record is from RefSeq and is a predicted model, not a curated record. The transcript is spliced from 3 exons.